This 523-nucleotide ribosomal RNA is filed under the name uncultured bacterium. Its description in RNAcentral is "partial 16S ribosomal RNA". It matches the Rfam family "Bacterial small subunit ribosomal RNA", at positions 28 to 523 of the family's 1533-position model. The record is from RNAcentral.
GACGAACGCUGGCGGCGUGCCUAAUACAUGCAAGUCGAACGCUUUUUCUUUCACCGGAGCUUGCUCCACCGAAAGAAAAAGAGUGGCGAACGGGUGAGUAACACGUGGGUAACCUGCCCAUCAGAAGGGGAUAACACUUGGAAACAGGUGCUAAUACCGUAUAACACUAUUUUCCGCAUGGAAGAAAGUUGAAAGGCGCUUUUGCGUCACUGAUGGAUGGACCCGCGGUGCAUUAGCUAGUUGGUGAGGUAACGGCUCACCAAGGCAACGAUGAAUAGCCGACCUGAGAGGGGGAUCGGCCACACUGGGACUGAGACACGGCCCAGACUCCUACGGGAGGCAGCAGUAGGGAAUCUUCGGCAAUGGACGAAAGUCUGACCGAGCAACGCCGCGUGAGUGAAGAAGGUUUUCGGAUCGUAAAACUCUGUUGUUAGAGAAGAACAAGGAUGAGAGUAAAAUGUUCAUCCCUUGACGGUAUCUAACCAGAAAGCCACGGCUAACUACGUGCCAGCAGCCGCUGUAA